RNAcentral lists this transfer RNA (76 nucleotides) under Candidatus Thorarchaeota archaeon. RNAcentral's name for it is "tRNA-Gln". It matches the Rfam family "tRNA". From Rfam's summary of the family: Transfer RNA (tRNA) molecules are approximately 80 nucleotides in length. Their secondary structure includes four short double-helical elements and three loops (D, anti-codon, and T loops). The record is from RNAcentral. Lineage: Archaea; Promethearchaeati; Candidatus Thorarchaeota.
AGCCCCGUGGUGUAGUGGUCCAGCAUCGGGGGUUCUGGCCCCCCGGACCUAGGUUCAAAUCCUGGCGGGGCUACCA